Long non-coding RNA from Protopterus annectens (West African lungfish), 645 nucleotides. RefSeq lists it as uncharacterized. Lineage: Eukaryota; Metazoa; Chordata; Ceratodontiformes; Protopteridae. The transcript has 5 exons. The record is from RefSeq and is a predicted model, not a curated record.
GCUCUCGCUUACCACUCUCCUCCCCCUUUCUAUCUUAUAUCCUCUCCAAUCCCAUAAAUAUACCCUGCCCUACGAGGCAUCAUCUUUAAUCCCCUUGAUGCCUCCUGGCUGCUUGCGUCCCUGCUCCGGUGUCCACAAUCACACUCUCCAUCCUGAGAUCCCUGUACCUGAGUAAGAGUUUUGUGCCCUGCUUGCUGACCUCGAACCAUAACCCAAAUCAGUUUCCAGCUGUCUCAUCCCUAACACCAGAAAUAGGACCUGAAGAUCUCCCUGAACCUCAAUUCCUCAAAGGACCAGAAAGCUUGGCCUCCGGCGCCUUGGCUCUGCCAGCAUCCAUGCACUAGAGAUCGUAACCAAUGCUUUGGAGGAUGACAACAUUUGUUACAGGUCACUGUACAGCUCCUGCAUAUGCAAGGUGUGCAUGGUUCUUCUCAAUAUGGCUCCAAUGUUACUUGUGUGCAUUGUCGUUAUAAGUUCAUUACUGUUUCAUUCACAUAUAUAAGGGUGAAACUUCACUCAAAGUGGUACCUUUUGUACUUAUUUCUGUCACUGCUAGCAACUCUGAGUAAUGAUCUGGAGCCCCAAUACAAACUGCAACAGUGAUGAGAUCACCUGUGUUGGGAGGGUGGGGUGACCUCAUUUUGA